GCCCGCUUGGCCCAGUGGUAAGGCGUCUCACUCGUAUUGGUCGCUUAGGUGACUCAUUACGUAAUCAUGAGAAGAUCAGUUGUUCGAGUCAGCUAGUGGGCA
Mycena rosella is the source of this 102-nucleotide non-coding RNA. The record is from the annotation of a GenBank genome assembly. Lineage: Eukaryota; Fungi; Basidiomycota; Agaricomycetes; Agaricales; Mycenaceae.